GACUUCUUUAGUACCGCAGCUAACGCGUGAAGUUCGCCGCCUGGGGAGUACGGUCGCAAGAUUAAAACUCAAAGGAAUUGACGGGGACCCGCACAAGCGGUGGAUGAUGUGGAUUAAUUCGAUGCAACGCGAAAAACCUUACCUACCCUUGACAUGCCUGGAAUCCUGAAGAGAUUUGGGAGUGCCCGAAAGGGAACCGGGACACAGGUGCUGCAUGGCUGUCGUCAGCUCGUGUCGUGAGAUGUUGGGUUAAGUCCCGCAACGAGCGCAACCCUUGUCGCUAAUUGCCAUCAUUUAGUUGGGCACUUUAGCGAGACUGCCGGUGACAAACCGGAGGAAGGUGGGGAUGACGUCAAGUCCUCAUGGCCCUUAUGGGUAGGGCUUCACACGUCAUACAAUGGUCGGUACAGAGGGUCGCCAACCCGCGAGGGGGAGCCAAUCCCAGAAAGCCGAUCGUAGUCCGGAUUGGAGUCUGCAACUCGACUCCAUGAAGUCGGAAUCGCUAGUAAUCGUGGAUCAGCAUGCCACGGUGAAUACGUUCCCGGGUCUUGUACACACCGCCCGUCACACCAUGGGAGUGGGUUUCACCAGAAGUAGUUAGCCUAACCGCAAGGGGGGCGAUUACCACGG
Molecule: ribosomal RNA, 630 nt
Filed under: uncultured bacterium
Lineage: Bacteria
Description: bacterial SSU rRNA
Rfam family: Bacterial small subunit ribosomal RNA
Source: RNAcentral